Molecule: non-coding RNA, 1039 nt
Organism: Microcebus murinus (gray mouse lemur)
Lineage: Eukaryota; Metazoa; Chordata; Mammalia; Primates; Cheirogaleidae
Source: RefSeq, a predicted model, not a curated record
AUGCUUCCAAGUAAUUUGGUAGCCUGCUGAUCACUGAAGGAGUGUGGGAAGGAGGGGCUCCAAUCUUCUCAGGGUUUGGUCCCCACUGAUAUCCCUUUUUCCUUUUUCCUCAUCCUUCUCUGCUUUGCAGUUUUCCUCCAUGAGGUUCCUGGCAGGCUCCGGUACUUCUUUCUCUGACCUACACCUCAGCUGUGUCCUUUCUCCCCUUUCCUUUGUCUGAAGCCCUUCCUUCCCUCCGGAAUGGUUGGUAAGCGAUGUCUCUAGUCAGCCAUCUUGCCCUUGUCUCCUGAAAGAGGCGUUUUAAUCGCAUGCUGCCGUGCAAGAAGAAUAGGCAACUAAUGCCUAAGACCCAAAGUACCUGGUGGCUUACAGUGUUUUGCCAAAUGCAGGUUCGGCUGCCUGCCACCCAAGAACCAAGCACAAGAGGCGAGUGUUGGUGAAGGAAAGGUGGUUUAUUCAAGUGCCAGUGGCCUGAGGAAAUGGUGGACUGUUGUUUCAAAGACCAUCUCAUCUUUCUGUGCUUACUGAGCAACUUAUGUACCCCGAAAGGGGUACACGGCAGAAAGAAAACUUUGUACAAAUCAUCAUGACUUGUUCAAUGGUUAUCAGUGAACAAUAGGUUGCCUGGUUGAUCUUGUCAUCAACUGUCUGCAGUUGGCCUAUUCCAGACUCUUAAUCUAUUCUUCCUCAAGUUCGUUUUCUAAUCUUGUGCCCAGCAGCUGUGUAAGCAAGCAUCAGGUUAAUUCUAAACUUUUAAGACAGAACAAGCUGAAAGCAUCCUUGAGGUAAAAUGGCUUCUCUUUAGCCAAUCUAUUAAUAUAGGCUGAGUGGCCCUUGGGGUGCACUCAUAGGUAGCCUCAGGUGCCAGCUGAAUCAAUACUUCACAGGAGCACCUGAAAUAACACCUCACUGAGCUCGGAGCCGUGUCCAGUUCAAGGUUACUGAAGUCUGUCCAGACAAAUAAUUGUAGAUGGUGUCAGGAAACCAACUCUCCCCUCACCCUCUGCAAUAAAAGGAUCUACGAAAAUAGGAUUGUUCA